This 116-nucleotide ribosomal RNA is filed under the name Candidatus Erwinia haradaeae. The record is from RNAcentral. Lineage: Bacteria; Pseudomonadati; Pseudomonadota; Gammaproteobacteria; Enterobacterales; Erwiniaceae.
UCUAGCGGCCAUAACGCGGUGGUCCCACCUGAUCCCAUACCGAACUCAGAAGUGAAACGCCGUGGUGCCGAUGGUAGUGUGGGGUCUCCCCAUGUGAGAGUAGGGAACCGCUAGGC